AACCUUUUUCGUUGGGGUAAUGGGUGGUCCUUUAGUGAUUUAGUUGGAUGCAUCACUUGGGGAGAGGGCGUGCUUGGGGCGUUGGCCCUAUCUUUCCGGUCCUUUCGUACUGGGAAAGGUUAAUCAUAGAUAGAAACCGACCUGGAUUGCUCCGGUCUGAACUCAGAUCACGUAGGACUGUUAAUCGUUGAACAAACGAACCCUUAGUAGCGGCUGCACCACUAGGAUGUCCUGAUCCAACAUCGAGGUCGUAAACCUCCUCGUCGAUAGGGGCUCUUGGGGGAGAUUGCGCUGUUAUCCCUGGGGUAGCUUGGUUCAUUGGUCAGUUUUACUGGGUCUGGGCGCUGUUGGCACGUUGAGGGGUUGCUCUUAGUUAAGGGGUCUGGCCUUAUUUUUGGAGGGUUUGUUUUUCUCCAAGGUCGCCCCAACCUAAAAAUAUUAGCCAGUGUUUUUGGGUAGUGGGCCUGGUGGGUUUGUAGGUUGGAUGUGGUGGCUAUUGAUUUUAAAGUUCCACAGGGUCUUCUCGUCUUAUGUGUUUAUCUCUGCUUUUGUACAGAGAGAUCAGUUUCACUGAUUGUCUGCAGGAGACAGUUAAGGCCUCGUUUAGCCGUUCAUACAGGUCUCGAUUUAUGGGACAAUUGAUUGCGCUACCUUUGCACGGUUAGGAUACCGCGGCCGUUAAACGUGUGUCACUGGGCAGGCAUCACCUUCAAUACUUGUUUGGCUGAAGGCUAUGUUUUUGGUAAACAGUCGGGUCUUAGGUUUGCCGAGUUCCUUCUGCAGAUUAUAAUCGUCCUAGUGUGCGCUCCUGGGUUGGUCUGACAGGGUGUGUUCAAUGUUUGGUCGGGGGUGUGGUAUUGUAGUUGUGCUGUUAAUGGUGUUUAGGUUGACGCUUUAGGGGGCUUGGUGCCCUGGUUACUCGUUUUAGCAUUGAUUCAUCUACUGUUGUAGGUUGACCUGUUAUGGGUUCAGGGAUUUACGUUGUUUUUGGAUUUUUUAGUCCGUAGAGCUUUGACGCGUUCUUUAAGGGUGGCUGCUUUAAGGCCCACGGGGGUUGGGUUGGGGUGGGGUUAUCCACUGGUGGAGGUUGUAUCCUUUUUUAAAGGGGCUGUACCCCCUUUAAAUAGCUCUUAGCCCAUUGCAUGGGGACUUGGUUGGUUUGUCUUGGGGAAGGGGCUGAGGGAGAACUUAGAUUCGUUUUACAGGUAACCAGCUAUCACCCAGCUCGGUUGGCUUUUCACCUCUACUAACAAGUCGUCCCACUCUUUUGCAACAGAGACGGGUUAGCUCGGGGUAGCUGCCUGUUAGUAGCUCGCUUAGGUUUCGGGGUGGCAGGCUUAAGCUCACUUUGCCUGAUUGUUCUUGCUAAAUCAUGAUGCAAGAGGUACAAGGGUUUAUCUUUGCUAUGUGGUGCUUGGUUUUCAUUGUUAUUUCAUCUUUCCCUUACGGUACUUUUUCUAUGGCGUCCGGGUUGCUUUUCUAUCGCCUAUACUGGGCUAGGUGAUAAUGUUUUGGGUUGAGUGUGGUGGUGGGUUCUUGAUUGUGGUUGGUGGAGCUAGGGUAGGCUU
RNAcentral lists this ribosomal RNA (1568 nucleotides) under Amazona ventralis. Its description in RNAcentral is "16S ribosomal RNA". Lineage: Eukaryota; Metazoa; Chordata; Aves; Psittaciformes; Psittacidae. The record is from RNAcentral.